RNAcentral lists this long non-coding RNA (11127 nucleotides) under Physcomitrium patens. RNAcentral's name for it is "long non-coding RNA (PPAT_LNC012128)". The record is from RNAcentral. Lineage: Eukaryota; Viridiplantae; Streptophyta; Bryopsida; Funariales; Funariaceae.
GCAGCUCAACAUAUUCCACAUUCAUGAAAAACAAUUUAUAAAAACGUUUUACAAGUUUCAGUUGCAAUGUGAGAGAGCUCAUGUGUCAGAUCAUCAUCUGCGGCACAGUUGCAGGCAUUGUCACAGCAGACCUGAACGCCGCAAAGGUGAGCAGGCGAGCUAGGUGUUUGACCUUCGAAAAACAAUGGUGGGACAGGAACGAGACGAAGCAGGUGCAUCGUGAAGAUACUUUCAUGAUAUGAGCCCAGUGUCCAUUUCAUCAUAAAAAUUCCUUUACAAAGCUAGAGCUGGGUGCAAAACAAAACAUGCCAGAUCCUCAAACCCAAACGUAUAGUAACAGCGAUGAAUGCGAGAGUCCAUCUAGCGGGGUCAGCUGGUGAUGAUCUGGUCUAGUUGCUCUGAUCUAAUCAGGCGGGGCAUGUCGAGAGCGGCGCACCGCAGAGUUUCUCGUUGCCGGGGCGGAAUGCAGACUCCGGCAAGGCACUCAAUCCCGAAGGAAGCUUUCCUGUGAGGUGAUUGCCACCCAAGUGAAGCUCCACGUUAGCGAGCUUCCCAUACUGCACGGGGAUGUUGCCAGAGUGGGCGUUGUUGGAGAAGUCCAGCACCUUGAGGUAGGGCAACAGGGUGGGCCACACGGGCAGGCCCGUAGUAAUCUUGUAGUUGGAGUGGACUCGCACCUCCUGUAGCGUGUUGUUGAGCGCUGACCCCAGACACGCCGGCCCCACGUUGGGCAGGUGGCUCUCCGAAACCUCCAGGACGCGUAGCUUUUUGAGCUUGCAGAGAUCCGAAGGUAGACCGAUGUUAUAUUUGGUGUUCUGGAGGAUGAGGACUUCCAGAGAGUUGGCGAACAGGCCGAUGUCGUUGCCCAGAGCACCUCCGGCGGCGUUCGCGUUACCUAGGAAUCCGUUGCGGACCACAAUCUCGCGCAGAGGGAGGUUGGCGAAUUUCCUGACAGGAAGAGGCGCGUUCCAUAUGAUCCAGUUGGUGUGCAGGACCUGGAGCUGAUACAAAUGGGACAGAGCUUCUCCUGCCUUGAAGCUUGCCUCCGGGUCACUCCAGAUGAGGAGGCUCGGCGCUCCAGGGCCCCCGCGGCUGGGUGCGCCGAAGUCCAAGUUAAUGCCGGUAACUCCUGACCCGCUACACUGAACCCCCUGUAAUGACAUGGAACGGAGUCAGUUGGUAACAAUAUCAUAGACGGAGAGCGAGGGAGACAACGAAAACCCUGAACCCCAGGCAAGUGAGCCUCUCCGAAGGGGAAUAUUGAAGUACUUACCUUCCAGCUGCAGCAAUUACCACCAGUCCAUGACGCGAAAUCGUUUCGAGGGUCAGAAAAAAAGGACUUGAAUUUGAGCAAUGCAUCACUCUCAGCAGGGCUGCACUGGGCCAUUGCCGAGUGUGCGAGUGAAGCCAUCAAGACACAGGCCAGCGCCCAGACGGAACCACCUCGGGUUCCUUGGGCUCGCAUUUCCAUCGCCAUAUUCUUUAGAAGCCCUGGGAUGUGAAAGACGCUACAUACUGUCAGUUGGAACCAACAAGGACCAGAACAAGCCAUGCGAACUUGUGAUACAGUGAGGAUAAGAAUAAACUUCGAAACAUAAGUCACUUAUCAUUGCAGUGCAUUCUCAGUCACCAUACCUGCACACAAAGCACGACGAACCAUCCACACAGACCAAAGCCUACAAGCUCUACAGAAGCUUGUACUGUUCCUUUUCCGCAAUGAACACCUCGAUGAUCACGACUACAGCAGAAAGAGCUACUCAACAAGACAACGAUGACCCAGACUGGUGAUCGUUGGUUGUCGAGACCAGACGCUGAAGGCUCUAAAUGUAGCCUUCUAAAAGUACUCUCAGGACGGUGACGACUCACCGCAGCAUGAGGCGAUCGAGUGAAAGUGUUGAUCGACUCUCACAGUCAACAGUUGACAGCUUCAUGAAGCAGGGUAACGGCGGAUAAGUAUUUUGUCAUGUCAGCUCGCUGGCGAACUGACUUGCCGUCCAAGGAUGUAUAAUUGUCUUCAAGUUAUCGCAGUAUUUCGAGCUGAGUAUGUGCCGAAGGGUGUAGAAAAAUUGCGUAAGUAGGUGAGUUCACCGAUCUGACUGCAAAAUCUGGUGACACCUGAACAAGCAGAUCAUGCCAUUGCUCUCACACAUGUGUACUAGAUGGCGCACUAAUGAGAAACCACGACAUUCGAGGUUACCAAGCGCCAUGCUCUGUCACUGCUCUGUACAUUUUCCCCAAGUAAUUAGUAGUAUCUGGGUGGGGUUUUGAUGGGGUUAUUCACUAUAUCAUCUGAUACUUGUCCUGAAAGCAGGUUAUUAACCCUGAAGACACUGAAUGAAUACCUCUUUUUCCUUUUUUUUCCUUUUCUUUCUUUUCUGUUUUGCACAAAAGGAAUAACCCAAAUGGCAAGUGUCGAAGUCUUCGGUACUCUACGUGGUGCACAGCAUAAUCAUAUACACUCACGUGAGACCAAUAGUAAACAAGGAAAUAUAGUCCUGCAAACUCCACAUGCUUCCCGCCUCUUACAGCUGAAUGACCAGCUGGACAGACUACGGCAAACACCAUUUAAUACUGAACUCCAACAAAGGGGCUGCACUUGACAAUGUCUUACACGUCACCAUUAAAUCACAGGUAAAAUUCAAAGAGAAAAGACUGCCGUAGGGGUCUAAGGUAUUAGAGCAAGUGCAUCACAAGAUAGUUCCCAGGAGAUUGCACGCCAUUAUUUUCAAAUUUUCAAAGCCUCAGGAGGAGGAAAUCAGCCAGAGGAAUAAUUGAAAAAAGACUAUCUGGCAGAGCAUGGGCUUGUUGUAGUCUAAAGGCUUAUCCUCAGUAUGUCCUUAUGCCGAUGCCAUCCUUUGCGCCCAUCUCUGCAUCGUGCACUGUAAGGCUACCAUUUCAAUUUGGUGCAGUUUCUGGAAAGGUCACCCUGCAGACCACAGAAUCAGUUGGUACGGUAGACCAGAUAGGAUUCAUAUAUGUUAUGUUUGUUCUACAGAAUACCUGCAGGAAAGUUACCGUGCUGUUAGUCUACGCACCUGAGAAACAUUUGAUGGUUUGCUCAACAAAGAGUUGUCACCAUAUCGCUUCAGGUUCAAAAUAUCACUGGAGUUGGCAACUCUAAAAUUGCAGGUAAACAUACAGCAUAGCGGGGUUUCGGUCCUCGGACUGAUGGAUAGCUUCUUCCCAACGCCUCUUCUGCGUCCCUCAGAUAAGUCUGUUGCAAAGAUGGCAUUAAAAAACGAAUCCCGGACAUAGGUCUCACUCCGCACUCUCGAUAAGAACCCGUGUUUCAUGUCCACUAAUAACUUCGUUAGAUAAUGUGUCGAAAAUCCAACAGAUCUCUUUUUAACCCAUCACGACUCACUUUUAUUUCGUCCGAAACUCAUUUAAGGAACGGGAUCAUGCGAACUGAACUAGAGGGGGGGAGGUAUGCCACAGCAGACACGAGCGGAGUCAAGUCUCUGGACCCCCACAAUUGGCUUCGUGGAGUCCAUCUUACGAAGUAUUAAGCGAGUAUUGAUGUCCAGUUUAUUGUACAAGUGUUGGGGUUCACCUACAUGGUAUCCACCGACAUGUUCUGAAAUAGGUUAUUCCAUACAAACAAGUGAACUUCGUUGACCCUAAUCGUCACGGUUUGCGAAGAUGUUGGAGCUAUAAUAACUGCAAGACGACGAGAUUUGUUAUCCCACGAGUGAGAGUGAUGCGCUUAGCGAAACUCUUGUCCAGAAAAUGAAAUCGAAAAACCAAAUGAAUGUCAUUUUGCAUGGCGGAUGCGGGUAGUUGUCGAUAAGAUUCUGCAGCGGGGUACUGAUCCUGAACUGCAGCACGAGCAAUAAAAAAAUGCCAAGGUUUGCUUCAGGAAACCUCACGCGCCUUCAACAAUGCGUGCCUCAGACAGUGUGUUCAUAGCCCCGAAUUCUCACGUCUGGGGAUCGCAAACGAGCUCAGGUCGUCAGUCAAUUUUUAAAGCUCUCGUGGAUUUGAAGCAUCGUCAAUCUUGUCUUCCAGCACAGGUUCUACGGUCCUCUCAAACAGCUCUUGGGCAUUCCCUGCUGGCUCACUCGUGUGGUCACCUCCAAACCAAAGAGUCACCUCCAAUGCUAGUUCACACAACACACUGUCCUCACUUCGAAGUGUGUGACAUCUCAACUUGUUCGUGCAUGAGCAGGUCAUAACACGGAUCGCAUCCGUAAUAAAUCACACAGAGUAUUGCACCUUCGUUACAUAGAUCGAAGAAAUCACUGGCACAUUCUCUAGCACAGUUUCCAAUUCAGAGGUUCAGGUUAUCGAUCUCGUGCAUGAGAUGAAAGCUCGGUAGUGUGACCGCUUUAGUGUCCUCUGAAGUUUGCAUAAAUCAAGUCAGGGUCUUAGAUUUCUAGGAUGGUUACUACCGACUUGGUGGACAGACUUCCUAUGCACUUCGGUGUGGGCAGGAACAUGCAUUUGUACUCCGAAUGAAGUGAGCGCCCUAGUUCUAUAACUUUCAGUAAGUGCAACAAUAAGCCGCAUGAUAGACAGAAAGACAGACAAAGAGGGACAGCCAGUUUCGAUGCCCACAAUGGGCAAUAACAAGGAAUCAAUCUAGUGCAGACCUGAAUCACCACAGCAAUACUCUGUCUUAUCAGUUUUGCACAAAACAGCACCACAUGUCCCCUCAAGCUUAAUCUCCUGCAUUUUGUAAAUACAUUCUACUAUAUAUAUAUAUAUAUAUAUGUAUAUUUAUUUGUAUUUUUGAUGUAAAUUCCAACCAUCGAUGGAAUUUGUGGUGGCAAUAGCAAUACCCUAUAUAUACACACAUAUACACACUAAAAAGAAGAGUUUGAAGUAAGAGAUGCAUGUAUUUUUGAUGUAAAUAAAAAUCACUAUUACUAUUUAAUAUUUUUUAUAUAUAAAUAUUUUUUUACAAAGAAAAUGAAAAUUUUAUUUAUGUUAUGUUUUAGUAUUUUGAAAAAGAUGAAAAAAUCUAUUAAUUAAAUUUUUUAAAACUCUUAAUUAGUCAUUAUAUAAUUCUAUUCUAUCAACUUAUACAUGUUAAUAGAAUUUUUAAUAGCUCCUAUAAUGUCUUUUAUAUGUAAAUCAAGUAAAUUAGUUGAAGUAAUUUUUAAUAUGGACUAGUUAAAGAAUUUUUUUAUUUUAUUUUUCAUUUUUUAAAUUUUUUUAUAUAAUUAUUUAUCUAUUUUUAAAUUUAUAAUCUUUUUAUUAAAAUUUUUUAGAAGAUAAGUCAUUUUUACUUACCUUCUUGUAAGUUUUAUAUUUUGUAACUUUUGUAUUGCUAGUAAGAAUAGUUAUUGUUAAUGUUGCAAUUAUGUAUUUUUAUAAAAUAAAACAUGUUUCUUAAGAUUGUAUUUAAUUUAUUCAAGAUUAAAAUCUAACCAAAACAAAAAGAAAUAUUGAACCUUUACUUACAUCUUUGCUACAACAGAAUGCACAAUUUAGUUGUUUUACUAUUCUUUAUGAACUCAAAGAACAACUCGAACUUGAAGACCAAUCUCAGCAAACUUCAAACUUGAAUCUUUCAACUUGGCUUUCAAAAGAAAUCUAUCAACUAUAACGAUUCUAUUGCCAAACAUGCCAAAAAAAAGAAUAUUGAGCAACUUAGCAACAACAUAGAAAUUAUGAAUUAGAACACAAGAUUAUUGAAGAUAAGGUUGAAUGGGCUAUUGCCACAUUGAAGAUAAGAGCUCUGAUUUUAAAGAACAUCUAGCACCAAAAACUCAAUUUCAAUCCAAUUAAACUCUUCAAUAAUAAAAGUUUUUCAAUGAGAAGCUUUGAAAAAGGAAAGAAGUGACUAUGGUUGAGCAAUAUAUCCAAUAUAAUACGUGGAUUGUAUACAGUAUUUGAGUUACCUAAGUCCAAAAAAAUGAGUGGCAAUUGAUUUUUAUUAAUACACUUCAUUGAGAGAAGUCACUGGAUUUUAUAUAAAAGUAUAAAGAUUAGGCCAAGGAGUAGAUUGUUGUCAGCACUUAGUUGCCUAAUUCAAAUUUCAACAGCACUUAUUCUACAAAUUAUGCAAAUGCUAUCAAUCUUUCAUCCACCAACAAACCGAUUCCCUUUAACAAUCCACUCAAUUGGUAGUCUUGCAAUUGUAGUUGUGGAACUUACAAUACGACUAAGCAAAAUCAGUCUGCUCUUAUUUUACUUUUUGGUAGUCUCUGCUGCGGAUUUACAAGUCUGUUGUUAUUAAAGAAAAACGUCUUUACAUGAGAAUCAACAAAAGAAUUAACACUACAAAAGCAAGGUCAAAGCCAAGUCUUGGUGAUGAGGAAACAAAGCUAAUUUGUAAAACAAAUUGCCAUUAGAUUGCCAAAAUUUUCUCUUAUUUAUCUAAGGCAAAGUUGAUCACAUUGCCUUAGAUUGCUCCAACACACUUUUGUGUGUUAAAUGCAAAAGUUGCAAAACAAUUGGUACUUUCUCAUGCCAAACUUGCAUCUAUUUCUUCUUUUUGUCCUUCUUGUGCAUUCAUCUCCACAAAUGGAGAAACUAUCUAAAGUUUUAACUACUAAUUAAUUUGUCAUUGUGGAUGUUAUUGUAUAUUUGCUUGUAUUGAUAGUUUCAACAAAGUUGGUUGUUGUUGUUGUAUUCUAGGAAGGAUGUAAGCAGAGUUUGUAAUUGGAUUUUUCACUAAAUUGUAAUUUGAAUUUAGAUAAAUAUAAUUAAAAUUAAAAGUCAAGACUUGAGUUAUAAUAAAGUUUUGGAAUAGAUGCAAUGUUGAAUGUAAAGUAUGCAAUAACAUGUUUUAUACAAAAAAAUGUACAAUAUUAGAAUUUUAUUUUUUUAAUUUUUAAAAAAGAAAUAUGUAAAAUCUGUUUUAAAAACAGAAAAUAUUGCAUCAAUUGUUUGCUAGUUAGAAUCUCCAAGAGUAUGUUAUAAUUUUAUCAAUUCAUAUUUUCAGUAUACUUAAUAUUAUGAGAUUUGCACAAAAUAUCAGAAAAAUCUUAUCAAGAUUUUUUGGAGUCAAUUACAAUAAAAUUAUUAAAAGAAUAUACAUUCCCAAUAUAUAUAUAUACAUAUAUAUAUAUAUACAUGCAUAUACACACACAUGCUCUUAAGAUAAAUAAGAGACAGCAACAAAUCAACAUCAAUGUAGCACAUUAAGAAAAAAAUAAUUAAGAAAAUGGAUCAGAAGAAGUCUAUUAAUAGAUCAUAUAAGCAUAAAUGAAUACCUUUACUUUCAUUUGUUAAAUAGGUGUGCCUAUUUUAUCCAUCUCACUGUGAAGUACCUUUACUUUCAUUUGUUAAAUAGGUGUGCCUAUUUUAUCCACCUCACUGUGAAGUAGUCAACUUCUAUCAAGUAUUAAAGAAAAUGUUCUAUACUUAAUGAAUAAAUCUGUAAUGAAUUGCACCCAAGCUAAUUAGAAUACACUACCUUCUCAUACUAACUAAGUACCUACAUUCCAACAUACCAUCCCACCUAUCUUCAAAGCAAAACCCUCAGUCUCGUUGUCAAAAAAGCAUGGUCCGCCUGGUAUCCAUUCAUAAUCCUGUGUGAGAUAUUUCCCUUUACACAUCAAUAGAAAGUCACAAUGGUACUCGCAGUUGCAAUGUGGUUAGCUAGAAGGGAGUCUGAUCGGACCCAUUUGCAAUUGUCUUUGUUCUGUCAAGGUCCUCCACAAAUCCUGCCUCUGGACGCAUGGACUCAAUAAAUACCACUCUCAUGCAGAGGUACCUCUUCAUCUGCCAACCUCCUUGUCUCCAGCACUCUCAAACUCUUGUGCUUCUCUUCGACAUGCCUUGCUUUGCAUAAUAAUAACAUCAUUAAUUACUGCAUGUACGAUGUAUGCUCCGUUUCACCUGCACUUCGUUGGAAUGGGUACCACCUGCCGUUUGUACUCUUCCAUCCGAGGUGUCUUCACUGGAAGCCCCGGAACUUUCACUGCUAGGACGCGCUUGAUAAACUCAUAUGAAGCGAAAAAAAGUGCCCCCUGGGUGAUGUAUAUCAAUAUCCGCGGUACUAGUCCCCUGCAAGUGUGCAAAAUCUUAAGUAAAUCAAGGAGGACACUUUCCACUUCAAUGCCCCCCUCAGUUUAUGGCCAGAGCGCACUGCUGAGACUAAUAUACCUAUUCCUGAAACAUAGCAAUCAUGUACAACCAAAACAUACGAAUGGUCGACGCCAAAAAUAAAGGCCGCACCCAUUUCAGUCCAUCUCGUAUCUAAAAAACCUAGAGUUGCAACAAAAUCGCAUGCAACUCACCGGUACAAUCCAGCUACACCCUCUGUAGUGACAAUGCUCUGGAAAGCGUGAAUAACCCCAGUGUAUUGCUGAGCUGUCCCAGGGAUCUGUCCACCCAACACCAGAUAAGUCAAGUCGAUCAUAUCCUAUUCGUCACAUCCUGAAGCUUCAGCACCCACGCUACCAUGUGCUCGACAAAGAACAAAUGCUCACAGAAUCCCCUUCCAUGGAACACUCACGAAUUCCAAAACAAGCAAUGCGGGCAGUACUAGUCACUCCAGAACCAGCUCAAAACCUGCGUUUGCAGCCGAGUCUUGACAACAUCGAAAGGAGUACUGAAUAAAGCAGCAGUCGACCCAGCAGCACCGCCGACAACCAGCUGCACAAAAAUCAGCGGAUCAGAACAAGACAGACACGUCCUCACAUCAUGCCCUUUAUUACACAUCCACAAACCCAGUUACAGUUCGUGCUCUUUCUCUCAUUCCAAUCUACAAACGCCUCAUGAUCAUUCCACGCCUGCCGGCACUCCACCAAGACUCCAUACUAUGCCUAAUCAGCCCAGAGGUGACAAAGUAACAAUGUCGUGUAAUUCACCAUCAAGUCAGCUACUAUACAACGAAAUCAACACCCGACGCAACCUACCGCUUGUGGUGUGCUCAAAGGGGUGUCACGAGGCUGGUCUCGUUGAAUCCAGCGCUUCAGCCCCUCAUAUGUGUAGAACUGUGCGAUCACCACACCACACGCCAUCACACUUCAGAACCUCCACACACUACCAAUCCAAAGUCGCGACUACCAUGCAAAGAAAACCACCAGGGGCAACCCCUAGAUUCAACAACAAAAAAGCAACCAACAUUGCAUUCGACAAGGAGAUAGUUGCAUACCUUGACCACAGAUUGCGGUACAUUGCGACAAAGCACUGCUCCCCAACCCUUGUACAGCGUCGGCAACCCUCCCUGUUGCACUAUCGAAGUGAGCGCUUGCCUGAGUUAUUCCACAACAACUGCUCAACACCAGUAAGUCGGAUUCGUCACACUGCAGGCAAAAUGCGGACCGAGGGAUGCUGGAAAAAGCUUGAGGGCAAUCCUCACGUGGCAGAAAAUCUGCACCACGCUUCGUGUAAACUACGUGCUAGUAAACGAAAGACCAAGCCCAUCGCCCCGAUUUCUUUCAAAUUUGAAACAUCCGGAUAUUGAACCGUACCAGCUAUUUGUAUACAACCCGUGCACUUGCAUCCGCUGUUUCACAAAGUCACUCGGUGUGUACACGAAGGAGGUGGCCACACUUGCACAUCCCCCAGCAACGCAAUGCGCCAGUGCGGACAUAUCCUGUUUGCAUUCAAUUGACAUGAAGGUUCAUAACCAUCAACGGCGUCCCCUCCUUACCAAGAAAAAUCCCAUCAAAAUCUUAACACACCUCACCCCGGACAACCAUGACACCACAUUGCGAGAUCGGAAGCUUCAGAACACACUUCACAUAUUCCAACGGAAGCUUCAGAACACACUUCACAUAUUCCAACGGAAGCUUCAGAACACACUUCACAUAUUCCAACGUCCGUGAAGCCGUACCUCUGGAAUGUGGCGGAGGAGACCAGCUUUGACGGUUUCAUAAGUGAGCGUGUAGAUAGCUGAGAUUGGAGCCGACGCAAUCAAAUUGCUUCCAAGACCUCGGUACAAACCUCCCAAACCUGCAAAUAAGACGUCCUCACUCGAGCAAGAUCCAAGGAGAGGAGAAGGAUCUACGUAAAAAAUCCUAGAAACUUAAUUACUGUGAAGUUGACGACACUGGAUAAGCGUACAGGCAUGGACUAUAAAAGGUUUACCUCUUUCAGAGAUAACAGCGGACAUAAUGGGAAGGAGUUUGCGGUUGCCACCAGCUCGCGCUUGCACGAGCGUCUUCAAAGUAUCAACAGGAUGCAAGCAAAGGCUCACGACCCCACCUGCCAUGGCUCCAGCGCCUGCGUUUUGCGCCACCCGAGGGCUCCAUUUCGUCACAUUACGGUUCGCCAUUGCAGCACUUGUGGCUGUUUAGACAAGCCCGUUGCACUCUACUGCCACUGCAGGGAUUGAGCUCCAAAACGCAACCAGUCGUGUCGCUUAAGUGCAGUGAGCAAUUGUUGCUGGAUUUCACAACAGCCACUAAUUCACUCACGCAAACUGUGUUUUCCGGGAUUCUUUGGCGGCAAACGACUCUUGGGUCAGCUCAUUUAUCGUAUGAGGGAAGGUUCAGCACUAUUUGUGGAAUGCUAAGCAUCGAACUAGUGCGACUCUGUCGCGUUUUGACCAUUCACUAGCGUAAGAGCGCCAUCUUGGCACAUGUUCUAUAGCCAUGUAAGCCCGCGUUGAAUGUGAUUCGCUGAGGCUUCAUAGCAACGUGACUGGUGCUGUGGAAUCUGGAGCUCACCACUGUGCUGUGGAAUCUGGAGCUCACCACUGUGCUGUGAAAUCUGGAGCUCACCACUGUGCUGUGACAGCUCCGAAGGUAUCACAGGAUAACAAGUACAUUAAAUGUGCCUCUUUUUCUGUAUAAAACUGAUGUUUAAUGAGAAAGCGAGUCACAUGACUUGCAUGGGAAGACAUUUUUGUUUUUUGCGUUUUGCUUUUUUGUGUUCUGUUUUUAAAUUGAUGUGUUCAGCUACUACCACUGGAGUUUAAGAUGUGCCUUAGGUAAUUUGAAUAUUUAAAGUAUUGAAAAUCUAGUGUUGAUGAGGUGAGGUAACGUAUUAACAAAUUUUUAAAAAAUAAAUGUAGAUAUCCAUGGUUACUUGGAAAGAUGGGUGUAUUGUGUUGUAAAUAAUUAGCACAAAUCACUUUGUAAGAAGAAUUUCUGUUGUGGGGAGAAUUCCCCCGUGAACUGUGAAAUGAUGUAUGAUUGUUUGCAUUGGGUUAUAAAAAAUAAAAAUAAAAAUAAAUCAUUUAUGGCACAUUAUUGUAGAAUAAAGGAAAAAAAAGAAAAAAAA